Micropterus salmoides (largemouth bass) is the source of this 216-nucleotide long non-coding RNA. RefSeq lists it as uncharacterized. NCBI's taxonomy places the organism in Eukaryota, Metazoa, Chordata, Actinopteri, Centrarchiformes, Centrarchidae. The record is from RefSeq and is a predicted model, not a curated record. The transcript has 3 exons.
CUCCUCGAAAAGGUUAGGGAAGGAGCCCUCUGAAAAUAUCACCGCAGCUGAUAAUUCUCACAAGGCUCAGCUGGUGGGGCUGAGUUGGUUCCAGGAAAAUACAGUCAGGUGGCUACAUCAGGAUUUCAGGCCCAUCAUAAAGUUCAUGUAUGCAAGGACUCUGUUGAUUGUGAUGGUGCGGACCUGGAAGCCCUUCAACACUUUGCAGAGGCUCAG